Molecule: ribosomal RNA, 625 nt
Filed under: uncultured bacterium
Lineage: Bacteria
Description: bacterial SSU rRNA
Rfam family: Bacterial small subunit ribosomal RNA
Source: RNAcentral
GAGCGGCGAAAGGGUGAGUAAUACGUUUCUAUGUACCCCGAGGUCAGGGAUAGCCCAGGGAAACUUGGAUUAAUACCUGAUGUGGCCACCAUGUAGAAGUGGUGAUCAAAGGCGCAUCGCCUCGGGAGCAGGGAACGUCCUAUCAGGUAGUUGGUGAGGUAACGGCUCACCAAGCCUUUGACGGGUAGCGGGUGUGAGAGCAUGGCCCGCCACAUCGGGACUGAGACACUGCCCGGACUCCUACGGGAGGCUGCAGUAACGAAUCUUCCGCAAUGGGCGCAAGCCUGACGGAGCAAUGCCGCGUGCAGGAUGAAGCCCUUCGGGGUGUAAACUGCUGUCAGGGAUUAGGAACACAAUGACCAAUCCCAAAGGAAGAGACGACUAACUCUGUGCCAGCAGUCGCGGUAAUACAGAGGUCUCGAGCGUUAGUCGGAUUCAUUGGGCUUAAAGCGUACGUAGGCGGACCUGCAGGCGUCGUGUGAAAGCCCCCGGCUCAACCGGGGAACUGCACGGCGAACCGCAGGUCUUGAGAUCGGUAGGGGCGGUCGGAACGAUAGGUGGAGUGGUGAAAUGCGUUGAUAUCUAUCGGAACGCCGAAGGUGAAGACAGGCCGCUGGGCCGAUUC